RNAcentral lists this small RNA (404 nucleotides) under Gibbsiella quercinecans. RNAcentral's name for it is "cspA thermoregulator". It matches the Rfam family "cspA thermoregulator". The record is from RNAcentral. Lineage: Bacteria; Pseudomonadati; Pseudomonadota; Gammaproteobacteria; Enterobacterales; Yersiniaceae.
CGGCCUGUGAUACAGACCUAUUUAUGCCAGAGUUUAGAGUUAAGCAGUUCCUUCAAAGCCGUUAUCAGUCGAUUCCGCUUCAAAGACGAACCUUCUAAGUACCUCCCAUAAGUAAUGUUUCUGCAAGCAGUCCAAAGUGCCUUAUGGCAAGUUUUUAUAUAUUUAAAAGGUAAAUGUAAUGUCUAAGAAGACGGGUCAGGUUAAGUGGUUCAACGAGAGCAAAGGUUUUGGUUUCAUUGAACAGCACGACGGUGGUAAAGAUGUGUUUGUACAUUUCUCUGCUAUCAUGACCGACGGUUUCAAAACCCUGGCUGAAGGCCAGCGUGUUGAGUACACCAUUCAGGACAGCCCGCGCGGGCCGGCUGCCGCCAACGUUGUUGCCCUGUAAGUUCAGGAAAUAGCGU